This 465-nucleotide ribosomal RNA is filed under the name uncultured bacterium. RNAcentral's name for it is "partial 16S ribosomal RNA". It matches the Rfam family "Bacterial small subunit ribosomal RNA", at positions 28 to 507 of the family's 1533-position model. The record is from RNAcentral.
GACGAACGCUGGCGGCGUGCUUAACACAUGCAAGUCGAACGGAAAGGCCCUGCUUGCAGGGUACUCGAGUGGCGAACGGGUGAGUAACACGUGGGAGCUUUGCCCGGCGCGUCGGGUUAAGCCUGGGAAACCGGGUCUAAAACCCGUUAGGAGUCAGUGUUAGUGUGAUGGUCGGAAAGUUUUUUCGGUGUAGGAUGAGCUCGCGGCCUAUUAGCUUGUUGGUGGGGUAAAGGCCUACCAAGGCGGCGACCGGUAGCCGGCCUGAGAGGGUGGACCGCGACAUUGGGGCUGAGAGCAGGCACCGGUUCCUAAGGGAGGAAGCAGGGGGGAAUAUUGCACAAUGGGCGCAAGCCUGAUGCAGCGGCGCUGCGUGGGGGAUGACGGCCUUCGGGUUGUAAACUUCUUUCGCGAGGGACGAAGCUGUAUGUGACGGUACCUAGAUAAGAAGCACCGGCUAACUACGUG